Molecule: ribosomal RNA, 253 nt
Filed under: uncultured bacterium
Lineage: Bacteria
Description: partial 16S ribosomal RNA
Rfam family: Bacterial small subunit ribosomal RNA
Source: RNAcentral
UACAGAGGGUGCGAGCGUUAAUCGGAAUUACUGGGCGUAAAGCGUGCGUAGACGGUUAUUUAAGUCGGAUGUGAAAGCCCCGGGCUCAACCUGGGAAUUGCAUUCGAGACUGAAUAGCUAGGGUACGGUAGAGGGAAGUGGAAUUUACGGUGUAGCAGUGAAAUGCGUAGAUAUCGUAAGGAAGACCAGUGGCGAAGGCGGAUCUCUGGACAGUUACUGACACUGAGGCACGAAGGCCAGGGGAGCAAACGGG